This 446-nucleotide ribosomal RNA is filed under the name uncultured bacterium. Its description in RNAcentral is "bacterial SSU rRNA". It matches the Rfam family "Bacterial small subunit ribosomal RNA", at positions 15 to 507 of the family's 1533-position model. The record is from RNAcentral.
GAUCCUGGCUCAAGAACGAACGCUGGCGGCAUGCCUAACACAUGCAAGUCGAACGAGACCUUCGGGUCUAGUGGCGCACGGGUGCGUAACGCGUGGGAACCUGCCUUUAGGUUCGGAAUAACUCAGAGAAAUUUGAGCUAAUACCGGAUAAUGUCUUCGGACCAAAGAUUUAUCGCCUUUAGAUGGGCCCGCGUAAGAUUAGCUAGUUGGUGGGGUAAAGGCCUACCAAGGCGACGAUCUUUAGCUGGUCUGAGAGGAUGAUCAGCCACACUGGGACUGAGACACGGCCCAGACUCCUACGGGAGGCAGCAGUGGGAAUAUUGGACAAUGGGCGAAAGCCUGAUCCAGCAAUGCCGCGUGAGUGAUGAAGGCCUUAGGGUUGUAAAGCUCUUUUACCCGAGAUGAUAAUGACAGUAUCGGGAGAAUAAGCUCCGGCUAACUCCGUG